CUCAAAUUUACGAUCCUCAUGCCUCAGCCUCCCAAGCCCCUGGGAUUACAGGAAUGCCCACCACGCCUGGCCUGACCUUUUAUUUUGCAUAUUGUUAUUAUUCUGUGCACAAGGAGGCUUCAAUCCAGGCCCCAUCUGGGCCACCCCUGACCACAUCUGGGCCAGUUUGUUUGUUACAUUGUGUCAUUGUUGUGACCCUUUUUCCCUGCCGUUCUUUUUUGUGGCACCCAGGACUGAACCUGGGGGUACUUUACCACUGAGCCACUCUCCCAGUCCUUUUUAUAUUUUUAUUUUUAAAUUUUGAGACAGGAUCUUACUAAGUUGCUGAGGCUGGGCUCCAACUUGUGAUCCUCUUGCCUCAGCCUCCUGGUUGCUGGGAUUUCAGGAGUGUGCCACCGUGCCCCGCUCAACAUUCAUUUUGAAACCUGAUUUCACACAGUGUUUCAUUUUUUUUCCCCAUAAAGAGGCCCCCAGAAUGCUGUGCCUGGUCCCCGCUGUGCUCUGAGGUGGCCAUGCUGGCCAUGUUCAGGUGGGAUGUCCCCCACCCUCGGGGUCAUGCCCGUCCUCUUUCCAUCUGUUAAAGGCCACAGAAGGAUUUGCUUUGUCUCAGUGCCGUGGGGCGUGUUUAGUGGGUGGGGGAGCUGGGAACCAGGCGUGGUCAGCCUCGCCCUCCGUGCCCUGCCAGGCUGCAGGACUCAUUUUCCACCUGUCAGAGACGCUGACUCAGAAGCACCGUGCAUUCCAGUUGUCUGCCUGUGGGUGUCUUCCUGUGUCUCAGUUUCCUCACUUAUGAAGGUGGAACGAUUCUGAGGCCCCGGGCUCUGUAAAACCUGGGUGGCACGGGGCACGGUGGUGCACACCUGCAAUCCCUGUGGCUCAGGAGGCCGAGGCAGGAGGACUGCAAGUUAGAAGCCAGCCUCAGCAACUCAGCGAGGCCCUAAGCAACUUAGCGAGACCCCAUCUCAAAACAGAAAAUAAAAAGGACUGGGGAUGUGGCUCAGUGGUUAAGGGCCCCGGGUUCAAUCCCUAGCACCAUAAACAAACAAACAAACAAACAAACAAACAAAACCCUUGAUGGUGAAGUAGGGUGUCAGAUGGGCGCCUCGCCACUAGCAGAUUGCCUUCCUGCUGGCCCUGAGCAAAGGGGAGGUCAGGGGUCGGUGUGUCCUCUGUGUCCAGUCACCUCCUCACUCAUCUUCCCUCUGGAGGCACCUGUCCCUCUGACCCGUCCCUGCAGCCCGGGGGCUUCUGUGGUCACUGGCGGAAGACCCCACGUUCCUCACUGGACUUUCAGGCCCCUACGACCUGCCCUCCAGGCCCUGCUGCCCAGGGCUCUGCUGGGAGAGGCCAGGAAAAGCCUGGAGGCCUGGCUGCCUCCACCUGGACGGGCUGCUUCCUCUCUAAGAGAGGAGGGGAGGCUGGGCAGGGCCACCCCCAAACACACUGCCCCAACCGUGGACCUGAGCAGCUCCCCUGAGGGCUCUGGCGGAGGACCACUGACUCCCCAAGACCGGCCGAGGAGCAGGGGAGGUGGGGGGCCCUGGCUGCUUCUGCGUCCGUCAGGACAGAGUCGGGGGUGGCACUGGGACUGUCUGACAGGCACAUGCUCCUUAACCGCCAGGGACCUCAGUUUGUCUGCAGGAUGUGACUCGCCCUGGCUCCUUGGGAUGACUGCAGGCCGCAGCCUCUGCCCUGAGCUCCCGCGGACCUCCCUGGGUGUCUCCAGCACCUGAGGCCCUGCACCCCACCCUGCAUCGCCUGGAGGCACCUGAGCUCCCCGCUCCCCCCUCAGCCAAGCCCUCAAUUCAGGCCGCACGGCCCCUGUCCAGCUUGCUCUCGGCCCUGGGCACCGAACCCUCCGCCCCUGACUGUCACAGUCCAGUGGGAGAAGCGGGGCGGGUGGGGUUCGGAGGUGGAGAGGCGGCGGCUGGACUUUGCAGAAGCCCAUUCAAGGGCAGCUGUCCCCACAGGAACACAGAUUGGGCUCGCAUGGCCAGGAAGUGAUGGCCCUUGCCCCGCGGGCCGUGCGUGGCCUCUGAACCUGCCGUGGGGGCAGGCCUGAGGGUCCCGCUGCUCUCUAGCACCCUCGCCUGCCCUGAGCACACAGGCAGGGCGCAGCCGACCCCAGGAGGACAGGGUGGCCCUGGGGCGGGUGUGCCUGGGGCAGGGCAGGGGGGCCCAGAGCCAGGAGCCAGCCCCAGGUCCAGGACGCAGGCAGGUCCUGGUCAGGCUGGACGCUCACUCCCUGGUCAGCACACAGCCUGCGUGACCUGGGCCGCCUCAGUGGGGGGCAUGGACCAGGCAGAGGGGGCAGAGGAGAGACGUCCGUCCAGCGUCUGUCGGGCCCUCUGUGGGAGCGCCUGUCUCAUGGGCUGGGAACUAGGAACAGGGAGCCGAUGGGCAGCGGAGCCCACGGGCUGCGCGAGUCCCUCAGGACGCCUGGCCGCAGUGGGAGGAGAGCCACCCUCUGUGGGCAGCCCCAGCGCCAUGGUCCUCCGUGUCUGCCCCUGGGUCAUGGUCACUCCAGCCGCCGGGGCAGCUCAAGCCGAGUCAGGGUGCCCAAGCCCGUCUGGCCCUGCUGCCAUGUGCGAGGCUGUCCCUCCUCCACUCACCAGAGCCACCUGUUCCUCAUGCUGCUGGACGUCCAC
Molecule: long non-coding RNA, 2648 nt
Filed under: Marmota monax (woodchuck)
Lineage: Eukaryota; Metazoa; Chordata; Mammalia; Rodentia; Sciuridae
Source: RNAcentral